GGCUCGCCAUCCAGCAGCAGCUGGCCCCCAGUGGGCUGGUACAGGUUCUGCAGCAGGGCGGCCACGGUGCUCUUCCCUGAUCCAUUGGGUCCCACCAACGCUGUCACCGUUCCAGGAUGCAGGGUGAACGUCAGACCCUAGGAAAACAGGGAAGAGUUCAGAGCAGCUUCCUAGAGAAAAUGAUGUUCAGGCUGCGGGAGCCCGACCUCCGCAGCAGAGAGAAAGGUUCCGAUCCCACGGGGUCUCCCUCAGACACCUGGAGCACAGGCUUCUCGGGGCGCCUGGGAUACGAAAAGGAGACGUCUUGGAAUUCCACGCGCCCCUCCAGCCAGGGAGGGGCCAGGAUCCCAGGCUGGGGCAGAUUCGGCUUUCGGUCCAGGAAGGAGAGCAGGCCACCCCGGGUGACCUCUCCAGCCAGAAUCUGCUGCACGCCGCAGUUCAGAAUCAGCACCUGCAUGCCCAAGGCCAUCACCUGGACAGGAGAGAGGUCUCGGCGCCACCACAGCUGUCUACAUCGCUCCAGGGCCUCCUUGUAGUGGCUGACUUCCUGCUCCUCGGCCCCAAAGCUUCGCACAGUCUGCAGCCCUCCUACCGCCUCGCGCACCACCUGCCCCGCCUUGGCCACUGCAUCCUGGAUCUCCUUUAGCACCGCCUGAAAACAGGGCAGCGGAUAAAACCGGUGAAUAAGGCAGAACACAACAGGCAGGGGCUUCCCUCCAGCAAUUCAUCACUGCCCCGUGCCUUUCUUUCCAGAAGGAAUAUUUUCGGAGGGGGAGGGGAGGGGAGGGGAGGGGAGAUGAGAUGCUGGGGAGAUGGCUCCAUGGGUAAAGUGCUUGUCCCAGUGUAUCACGCACACUCACAGAGCACAGGAAGUAGAAAACAUAUGUGAAUUGCUGAGCUCUCCCUGUUAAGCACUGUGGUGCUAUUCUGUUUAGCUUUCAUUUGAAGUGAAUUCUUGCAUGUGAUGUCAAAUGAGGAGAGAGACAGUAAUUCAGAAAGGUGGAGAUGUGGCUGUCAAAGUGGCUCAGCUGUUCAGAGAGCUUGUGUCUCUUCCAGAUGACCAGGGUAUAAUCCCCAGCACACAAACCAUGCCACACAAACACCUGUGACUGCAGCUCCAGAGAAUCAGGGGCUGUCGUCUGGCCUCUGCGGACACGGACACACACACACACACACAGAAAUGUGCAAAUAAAAUAAAUCCUUAUGUUUU
RNAcentral lists this long non-coding RNA (1210 nucleotides) under Mus musculus (house mouse). Its description in RNAcentral is "predicted gene 15821". The record is from RNAcentral. Lineage: Eukaryota; Metazoa; Chordata; Mammalia; Rodentia; Muridae.